UAGCAAGCAUACUAAAAUCUCAACAUUCAUCAAAAGAAAGUUCAACCACUACGGCGGCAUAAGAAACAAAAAAAACGAAGCAUCACGAUUGCAAAACAAAAGCAUGGCAAGGAGUCCAUGAUCACAAAUUAUGAGUGACUAUAAAGAUUGCAGAUGUUAUGGAUGUAUGAUACAUACCACAAAGACAGAAGAAAGCAAGGACAAGAUUUCUCAAAGUAGAAUAACGCUAGAAUCGCAGAAUCAGGAAGUAAAUCCACAAAGAAAAUAAAAAAAAGUGUCUGUAAAGAGAGUUGAGAAGGGUUAAAGCAAGAAAGAGCUUGGACAGGGUCAAUUCUUAAAUUUUGGGGGCCAAAGAUAACUUGGUACGAUUUUUUUUCUUAAAAAUAAAUAAUUAAGAUACAUAUGCAACGAGUUACAUGAAAAGUUUUUCUCUUUCCCGAAAAGGGCGAUCCUUUUAGCGAUUGCGCAAAUCGGCGUUGGUCCCUGGCCUCCACCGCCGCCAAACCCUAAUGGCGAAGAAAGAGUCUUCCUCUGCAAACCCCACCCGCUCCAACCCACCACCUUCGCCUCCCCCCGCAAACCACACCCGCUCAAACCAUCCCCCUCCGCCUCCCCC
This 616-nucleotide long non-coding RNA is filed under the name Brassica napus (rape). RNAcentral describes it as "long non-coding RNA (BNAP_LNC009898)". Lineage: Eukaryota; Viridiplantae; Streptophyta; Magnoliopsida; Brassicales; Brassicaceae. The record is from RNAcentral.